AUUGAACGCUGGCGGAAUGCUUUACACAUGCAAGUCGAGCGGCAGCACGGGGGCAACCCUGGUGGCGAGCGGCGAACGGGUGAGUAAUACAUCGGAACAUGCCCAGUCGUGGGGGGAUAACACUUCGAAAGAAGUGCUAAUACCGCAUACGUCCUGAGGGAGAAAGCGGGGGAUCGCAAGACCUCGCGCGAUUGGAGUGGCCGAUGUCAGAUUAGCUAGUUGGUGGGGUAAAGGCCUACCAAGGCAACGAUCUGUAGCUGGUCUGAGAGGAUGAUCAGCCACACUGGGACUGAGACACGGCCCAGACUCCUACGGGAGGCAGCAGUGGGGAAUUUUGGACAAUGGGGGCAACCCUGAUCCAGCCAUUCCGCGUGAGUGAAGAAGGCC
This 387-nucleotide ribosomal RNA is filed under the name uncultured bacterium. RNAcentral's name for it is "bacterial SSU rRNA". It matches the Rfam family "Bacterial small subunit ribosomal RNA", at positions 29 to 416 of the family's 1533-position model. The record is from RNAcentral.